CCUACGGGAGGCAGCAGUGGGGGAUAUUGCACAAUGGGGGGAACCCUGAUGCAGCGACGCCGCGUGGGUGAAGAAGCGCCUCGGCGCGUAAAGCCCUGUCAGUAGGGAAGAAAAUGACGGUACCUGAAGAAGAAGCCCCGGAUAACUACGUUCCAGCAGCCGAGGUAAUAAGUAGGGGGCAAGCGUAAUCCGGAUUUACUGGGUGUCAAGGGGGCGCAGACGGCGAUGCAAGCCAGGAGUGAAAGGCCGGGGCCCAACCCCGGGACUGCUCUUGGAACUGCGUGGCUGGAGUGCAGGAGGGGCAGGCGGAAGUCCUGGUGUAGCGGGGAAAUGCGUAGAGAUCAGGAGGAACACCGGUGGCGAAGGCGGCCUGCUGGACUGCAACUGACGUUGAGGCCCGAAAGCGUGGGGAGCAAACAGGAUUAGAUACCCCGGUAGUC
Molecule: ribosomal RNA, 440 nt
Filed under: uncultured bacterium
Lineage: Bacteria
Description: partial 16S ribosomal RNA
Rfam family: Bacterial small subunit ribosomal RNA
Source: RNAcentral